Non-coding RNA from Oncorhynchus mykiss (rainbow trout), 768 nucleotides. NCBI's taxonomy places the organism in Eukaryota, Metazoa, Chordata, Actinopteri, Salmoniformes, Salmonidae. The record is from RefSeq and is a predicted model, not a curated record.
UCCCUUAGCUUGGGUCCUUAUCCAGCAUACCCGGAAGCUACAGAGAUAGAGAGGAACAGAACAAACACACAACGCGCUCAUCCAUAACAUCGAUAGGAGCUCCAGGCCCAAGUGCCCACCGCCGGCUUCCCAGGAAACUCAGCCCAGCGUCUCACCUCCUUGUGGGUCGGCACCGGCCAAAGGAGGCCAAAUCAAUGAGCACUAUGGUCGUCUAGGCAAUGUGCCCACGCAUGCCUGAUUCUGCCCGUUACACGCCUAGCACUUUAUGAAGGACACGUGCCCUCGCGACAGAAGACUGAUCACACGGAACGGAGACCUGCGGUAGUCAGGCUGGAAAAUCCAAGCAGCCAACCUCACAUCUGGCAACUCAUUUCUAUGCACAUAGUAAGUGGCAUAUACAGUUACCGUAUGAUCCUCUGCAGAUAUAGAGACAUACAGUCCUCACAGUGCAUACAGAAACCAUGCAGUAGGUAGAAGACGGAUGGACCGGCAGACAGACAUUGCAGGAACAACACAGACUCACACGCACACAAACAUGUUGUGCUCAAGACCCACACGGUCAACCAGACUCUCACAAACAGACCAAAAGCUGGCUGUCUCUCCUAGCUACCUUCAGCAGAAGGCUUCUCAAUAAGGACUCCUAUGUUCAUGUGAGGUAAUCUGUUAUGACCAGGGCAGGGAUGGUGCAUGGGGGACAAGAGAGAGAGAAAGAAAGAGAGAAAAACAGAACGAGAGACGGAGACAAGAGAAAGAGUGAGAGAGAGAGAG